GAUGAAGAACGUAGCGAAAUGCGAUAAGUAAUGUGAAUUGCAGAAUUCAGUGAAUCAUCGAAUCUUUGAACGCACAUUGCGCCCGCCAGCAUUCUGGCGGGCAUGCCUGUUCGAGCGUCAUUUCAACCCUCGAGCCCCCCCGGGGGCCUCGGUGUUGGGGGACGGCACACCAGCCGCCCCCGAAAUGCAGUGGCGACCCCGCCGCAGCCUCCCCUGCGUAGUAGCACACACCUCGCACCGGAGCGCGGAGGCGGUCACGCCGUAAAACGCCCAACUUUCUUAUAGUUGACCUCGGAUCAGGUAGGAAUACCCGCUGAACUUAAGCAUAUCAAUAAGCGGAGGA
Molecule: unclassified non-coding RNA, 343 nt
Filed under: soil metagenome
Description: partial contains 5.8S ribosomal RNA, internal transcribed spacer 2, and large subunit ribosomal RNA
Rfam family: 5.8S ribosomal RNA (bases 1-120)
Source: RNAcentral